RNAcentral lists this long non-coding RNA (413 nucleotides) under Homo sapiens (human). RNAcentral's name for it is "HSALNT0151365". Lineage: Eukaryota; Metazoa; Chordata; Mammalia; Primates; Hominidae. The record is from RNAcentral.
CUGUCUCACCACUCCACCCCCUUUAACAACUGUUGUUUUAUGUAACAUUUUACUUGUCUUUUCACCAUUGGAUUCUCCCCGUGUUUCUAGCUACCAGCUCAUAGCUUAGAAUGUGAAAUAAUACCUGUGGCUGAAAAGAAGCUCUUUUGACCCAGGAUCCUGGUCCUCUGCAUAACAGUCAAGACCAUUCUCAUUUGCCUGAAAGUGUUUUAGAGAAGAAAGAGAAAUUCAGGACCAAUCAGCAAUUCCCUUUUCCACUCUUAUGAAGAAAGAAAAAGGAUUUGUGUUAUUUGAGAUUUAAGUUACUUCCUUUUUUCCUAUGACAGGUUUUGGUAAAUGCCCAGCUCCAAUAAUACGUUAACAUUUUCAGAGUCAAUCUGGGUUAUAAGUAAAUAAACUCCAUUUUGAUCUUG